Molecule: ribosomal RNA, 173 nt
Filed under: Russula sp. R10
Lineage: Eukaryota; Fungi; Basidiomycota; Agaricomycetes; Russulales; Russulaceae
Description: partial 28S ribosomal RNA
Rfam family: Eukaryotic large subunit ribosomal RNA
Source: RNAcentral
CCUUGACCUCAAAUCGGGUGAGACUACACGCUGAACUUAAGCAUAUCAAUACGCGGAGGAAAAGAAACUAACAAGGAUUGGCCUAGUAACUGCGAGUGAAGCGGGAAAAGCUCAAAUUCAACAAUCUCCCGGCCUAUGACCAUGCCGGUAGUAAUUCGAUCAUGGUUUCUACG